AAAUUCUUUAAAAAUCUUCUUCUCAAGAAUGACAAAGCCAUAAUUCAUCAUAUUUAUAUGGAAGCAUGUUCAGGUAGUGUAUAUUCAAGUUUGUUCAAAUCAUGACCCCCAGGGGUAGGGCGGGGCCAAAAUGGCCGACCAAAGUUUUUAAAGAUAUAUAUAGAAAAAUUCUUUAAAAAUCAUUUUCCAAAAAAUAGCAAAUCCAUGAUUGGUCAUGGGACUACUUUUGGAUUUAAACUUUACAAUAAAAAGCCAUUUUCUACUUUUUCCUACCCUUAGUGCUCAGGUGAGCGAUGUGGCCCAUGGGCCUCUUGUUAUAAUUUAAGCUCACCUGAGCUAUAGUUUCAAAUGAGCUUCCUCUGAUGAAAGUUUUGCUGUUGUCAGUCUCCGAGUCUUUGAUUAGUUUACUUGUCAUGCUUAAUACCAUCAUGCAAUUUUAAGUCAAUUUAAUGAAGGGCCACAUAUUUCUUUAAAGAAGGAGAAAGAAAUUUGGUGAUAUCAUAAAAAUUUUUCAUAACUAUGAAUUGAAAUUUGUGAUAGCUUAUACUAGCUAGAAUUAUGUUCAUUCCAAAAGGACAGAAUCCUGAUUCCAUGGGCCACUAUAGGCAAUCUUAUUCUCUUUGGUCCUUUUUGUCUCAUAGUUUUAAUUCAAAAGAAAUUUUUGUUAAAAGAAAAACUUAUGCAUAUUAUGCUUAAAGCAUGCUUUUAAUAUAUAUAAUAUGAAAAGAAAGAGAGAGAGAGCAAUGUUUCAAACUGAUCAAGAGCUCUGCAGAGUUUGGUUCUGUAGUCAGAUUGCUAUGGAAGUAAGUGAGCAUUGUGGCCCAAGCCCUUUGUUUUUUUUUUUGUUUUUUCUGUUUGGUGCAUUUUGAAGUACAUGACAAUUCAUUAGAUAUUUUAUGUAAAUAUUUUAGCAUAUAGUUACAUGUUGACUGUUUUUGCUAUUUAAUUCCAAAGUUUUGCUGCAAGUAAAAUACAAUUUUUAUCUAUUUUUAAAUGUAGGUUAGUUUUUAUAAAAAGUGUAUUUAUUGUAUGCAAGGUCUUAUUCCUUCUAGUGUAAAUACAUAAACAAAUGUACAUGUAUGUAGAAAAAAAUAAUAUUUAAACUUAAAAUAAUUGUUAAAUUGAGAAAAAUCAAAAUAUGAUAUGAAUGCAAAUAAAUUCUAACUAGUAUGUAUAUAUCUAUCACACAGGGGUUGUUUCCUCCAUUGUAUAAAUACAUUGUUACCACACCAUUUGUUUUUAAUUUAUUUUUCAUUUAUUAUAUGUUAGAUUUUAGAGGGUACACAUCUUUUUAAUCUUUUAAUUGCAUAUUUUUCAAAGACAUAACUUUUCAAUUCACCUUAAAAUUUUAAGUACAUUUGUAAAGUACACUUUUCCAGUAUUUGAAAGACUGUUUUUAUAACUUGACUAGUAACUAAAAUAGUUAUUUUAAGAAAUGCAUAAAAUAACAAGAUGAUGUAUUUUUUUUUUAUUUUGGACACUUUUUAAUCAUCAGUAGGUAUUAAGCCUUAGCACUUGCUUGUUAUAUUUGCCUUCACUGUGGCAGAUUAAUGGUUGAUUUUUAUGGCAGCUCAUUUUGCAUUCACCUCUAUUACUAUGUUUAUAUAUAGGAAAUAAAUUAUAUGGGUAAUCCCCACCAACACCAUCAAACAAAACAUAUUUCAAUAUCUCAUAAUUAUUAUAAAGACUGACAUGUUUAGCUACAUGUAUCAGUUGUCAAUUCCUUUUUUAUCAAAAAGAGCAGAGGAUGGGUCUAUAACAUAAUACAUUGGAAACAUGAAUUUCUGGACAGCAUAUCAUUUAAUAUCUUUGUUGAAUUUCUUUACAACAUACCUUUUUAAUAUUUUAUCAAGGUACAUUUUUUAGGUCACCUGACAGUGUAGAUGCUGUCAAUAUUCUGUGUGGAGAUAAAAAGAUUUAUCCUUUAGGGUUUUCAGUUUAGUCAUAUUCCAAGAACUUUUCUGCUCAAUAAAGUACAUGACUCAACAAUUUCUCUGAAGAAUUUCAUUCAGUAUUUGCAAAUUUAAAAAAUAUCCUUUAAUUACCAAAGAUGCAUUCAACUUUCAUAUUUUGUUUGUAUAUGAAACAUAUCCACUAUAUUUAUAAUAAGACUGUCAUUGAAUAUUGUUGGUUCUUCAAAAAGUCUUACAUUUCCAUCUAAAAUAAUUGAAAUUCAGGAAAAGAUUAGAUAUUUUUUGUAGCCGACCUGUGUAAUUCACAAGGAAUGAAGCUGUAAUGGGUAAAAUAUUGGGCAGCUCUUCAGGAAAAGUUUAGUAGCAUUUAGUAGGUGGUUUCAUAAGCAGUGAGUUUUUUAAUAUUUUAAUAAAUGAUUUCCCAUUAUUAUUAUGUAUAUAUUGAAUAUUAGCAUGGGUAUCAUUGGUGUCAAUUUUUUUUGGAGGGGGUAUAAUUGGACACCCACAUUUUCCAUGUUCUAUGAAUUACUGUGUACCUGGCUCAAUUUGUCACAUUUUAUUUAAACAAGUACACUGCACACUGCACCUGUGUCUUUUUCUUUAGUUACAUACUGUAAUUUUAAUCCUUUGCACUUUGUACAGACAAGUUUUAUAGAGACACUUUAUCCUAUGAUGUAUAUAUAUAUGCAUAUGUAAUAUUAUGUUGGGAUAUUUUAAAAAUAUCUUUACUUUAUAGGUAUACAGUUACCUAUUUUAUUGUAAACUCACCUUAUGAUUACCUGUGACCUGGUGUUAUCAACUUUUUUGACAUUGUCCAGAUUUUUAAUAUGUCAGAGCUGGUCUCUGCUGUUGCAUCACUGAUGUACAGAGCUCUUUCAUAUUUUUGUAAUUUUAUUGUGAUUUAAUCAUUAAAAGCACUUGUGGUAUUGAAUUUGUAUUUUUUAGUUAUCAUUUUUCUUGUGAACAUUUUUAAUAUUUAAUUUUAUCAAACUUAUAAUGCAUUGUCAAGUUUUAUUGAAUCUUACAUUAAAAAUGGAAACUGU
Long non-coding RNA from Saccostrea cuccullata (small rock oyster), 2956 nucleotides. RefSeq lists it as uncharacterized. The record is from RefSeq and is a predicted model, not a curated record. The transcript is spliced from 2 exons. Lineage: Eukaryota; Metazoa; Mollusca; Bivalvia; Ostreida; Ostreidae.